This is a ribosomal RNA of 561 nucleotides. It matches the Rfam family "Eukaryotic small subunit ribosomal RNA", at positions 17 to 536 of the family's 1831-position model.
CCAGUAGUGUAUGCUUCUCCUAAAGACUAAGCCAUGCAUGCCUUCGAAUAAGAGGAAGCAAUUCUCUCUGAAUCUGCGAACGGCUCCGCAAACCAGUUGUAAACUACAGCAAGCAUAUUUCUGACUUUCGGGUUGGGAAUGAUAUGGAUAACCCUGGUAAUUCUGAGGCUAAUACAAGAUCGUACCACCUGGUCGACUGGGCAACCGGUAGGCUGGGGGACGUGCGGAAAAGGCAGCGGAGUACUGGGAAAGGAUGCACGUUCAGACCACCAUACAAACGGUAGUCGCGGGUCCCGCAAGGGCGAAGUGGCGUCCGGGUGGCUCUUGCUUUGUGCUUCUGACCUAUCAACUUGAUGGCAGCGUAAUGGACAUGCCAUGGUUACAACGGGUACAGAGGAUAAGGGUUCGAUCCUGGAGAGUGGGCCUGAGAGAUUGCUCAUACUUCUAAGGAAGGCAGCAGGCGCGCAACGUUCCCAUUGGACAAUGUCCGAGGGCGUUAGGGGACAUAUGAAUGCCUGCCAAUUGGUGGGCAAUUCAAAUGGGACUGUUCUAAACAUCCUA